UGCGUAGGCGGGGCAAUUAGUCAGUGGUGAAAUCCUGCGGCUUAACCGUAGAACUGCCAUUGAUACUGUUGCCCUUGAGUAUAGUUGAGGUGGGCGGAAUGUGUAAUGUAGCGGUGAAAUGCAUAGAGAUUACACAGAACACCAAUUGCGAAGGCAGCUCACUAAGCUAUAACUGACGCUGAGGCACGAAAGCGUGGGGAGCGAACAGGAUUAGAUACCCUGGUAGUCC
This 229-nucleotide ribosomal RNA is filed under the name uncultured bacterium. RNAcentral's name for it is "partial 16S ribosomal RNA". It matches the Rfam family "Bacterial small subunit ribosomal RNA", at positions 568 to 796 of the family's 1533-position model. The record is from RNAcentral.